AGGAUGGCUGGCCCGUCAGUUGGUCGUUCGCGAACCGGCCGGCGGGUGAGAUCAAGCGCGAACUACGCUCGUAGACGCUCUGUUCGGUGCGACCGCGGACGCGGGUUCGAUUCCCGCCGCCUCCACUU
RNAcentral lists this transfer-messenger RNA (128 nucleotides) under Actinomycetota bacterium. RNAcentral describes it as "Actinobacteria bacterium partial transfer-messenger RNA". It matches the Rfam family "transfer-messenger RNA", at positions 236 to 374 of the family's 374-position model. Rfam says of the family: Bacterial tmRNA, also known as 10Sa RNA or SsrA, is named for its dual tRNA and mRNA-like properties. Its role is to liberate the mRNA from a stalled ribosome. Lineage: Bacteria; Bacillati; Actinomycetota. The record is from RNAcentral.